CACGUAGGGUGCGAGCGUUGUCCGGAAUUAUUGGGCGUAAAGAGCUCGUAGGCGGCUUGUUGCGUCGACCGUGAAAACCUGCGGCUCAACCGUGUGGUCUGCAGUCGAUACGGGCAGGCUGGAGUUCGGUAGGGGAGACUGGAAUUCCUGGUGUAGCGGUGAAAUGCGCAGAUAUCAGGAGGAACACCGGUGGCGAAAGCGGCUCUCUGGGACGGUACUGACGCUGAGACGCGAAAGCGUGGGGAGCGAACAGG
RNAcentral lists this ribosomal RNA (254 nucleotides) under uncultured bacterium. RNAcentral's name for it is "partial 16S ribosomal RNA". It matches the Rfam family "Bacterial small subunit ribosomal RNA", at positions 524 to 776 of the family's 1533-position model. The record is from RNAcentral.